This is a long non-coding RNA of Ochotona princeps (American pika), 994 nucleotides long. RefSeq lists it as uncharacterized. Lineage: Eukaryota; Metazoa; Chordata; Mammalia; Lagomorpha; Ochotonidae. The transcript has 3 exons. The record is from RefSeq and is a predicted model, not a curated record.
CCCACCCAUGCCCACUGUACUCCACGUUUUCAACAUCCUUGAAUCUGAUGUUGCCUGUGUCUACCUACAGAACAGUACUCAGAUAAGCCAUGGGAAGACCAGGCUGCCUUUGCAGUGGCUCCCGACCUAAAACCAAAGCACAUUAGCUGGAAAUCACUGCAUAGGAAGUCUUGGUAAAGAUUUCAGAAGUGGAUAAAUGAAUUUGCCAGGAGUGGGAAGCAGAGUCAACCUAAAUGGACAAGAACAUUCCUGGUGUGAUCUUAUGGCAGAUUGUUUGAACACCUGCAGGCAUUCGAGGACCGUCCUCUCAAGCACCCUCAUCUAUGUCUCUUUCAACUGGAUUACCAUAAUUCAGCUAGAGGUAUGGUGUUUAGAUUGGAGAGGCUAUAGACACAAGUUUCAUCUCACACCAGGAGCUGUGUGGAUCACUGUGUUGAAAAGGAUUCUGAGGCUGCACUGGCACUUGGUGAAUAUGGAGGCAGUAAAUAAGGGGCGAUGUUUGUCUAGAGGUCGGGGUGGGGAGGGAAGAUGUAUGUGUGAAUAUGUUAACACACCUGCUGGUGGACAUAGCCCUGACUGAAGAUCCUGUGGUCCUGAGGAAGGCAUUCCUUUUCCUUGGCCUCGGUUUCCUGAUGUGAAAAAUCAAGGUGGUGUCAUGUGUCCCUUUAUCAGGCCUUGCUUAAGACUAAAGGCAGUGAAGUGAAUCAAAUGUCUUCAGAACCAUCACCAGUUACACAAUUAUGAAGUCCUGUAAGUGAAAAACUAUUUAUACACGAAUAAUUCUGUGUGGGUGUGUGUUUGUACAUGCAUUUACUUCUCUGAUGCUCCAGGAAAAGACUUGAAUGCUUUAAGCCAGAUCAAUCCUUGCAGGGGCUGGCUUAUAUAUUGCAGGAUGUGCAGUGAUACUAUCAGUGCACCUCCAACAGCUAUGACAACCAAAACAGUAUCCAGACAUGGUCAAAUAUCUGCUGAAGGCAAAAAUGACUCUUGGUUG